Molecule: long non-coding RNA, 1913 nt
Organism: Lolium perenne
Lineage: Eukaryota; Viridiplantae; Streptophyta; Magnoliopsida; Poales; Poaceae
Source: RefSeq, a predicted model, not a curated record
CCAUGGUGGUUGCAAUCAUCACGGUUGAUGCUGCUUUGAGAUUCCCAUUAUGGGUUGGUCCAAACUUUCCCACUAUACUUUUCUCUAUUUAGUGGAUGUGUUUGAGAUUUCCUCUUUAAACCGAGUUGGGACCCGUUUGCUGCACCGGCCAGCGCUAGGCCUGCCCCCUUCCAUAGCGCUCUGCCCGAGAAUCCCUCUACAGAGUCUCAUGAGAGCUUCGCUUGAGUGCCCAGUUAGCGAAAGGUUCGGCACCCAUCUCUUCUCCCGUUUUAGACUGCUCAAUUCCCAUGGAUCCCGUUUAUCCCGUUUUAUCUGUGAUUGCGGCGAACCCCGAUCGAGGCAAACCACCCCUCUCUCUCUUGGUUCAUCCCAAAUCGCUGCCAUCGUCUCUCUCAUUAUGAUGCUCACGAUCCAGAUCAACCCUCGACCUAACCUCUCAUGCCUUCCUCUAACGCCGCCGACGGUCCUCCUUCCCCGUGCUUUCUUGUCCUGCGGGAGCUGCACAACGGAGCUAUCUCCCCGGCCACCGUAUGGCCUCCCGCCGCUGCACUGGGUGGAGAAGGAGGGGCUGAAUCGCCAAGGAAGGUGACGACACCGUUGCAUCUGCAGCAAGCUGCGCCUCCUCUCACCUUCAUCUCGCGAUGCGGCCGGCCAGGGAGAGGGCUGCCAUGGGCUAUGGCGGGGGGUAGGAGGCCGUGAGGGGCUGGAGCCUGGAGCUCGUCGCCCUAGGAAACGAGGCGAUCCCGGGCCUCCACCGCCGCCCUAGGAGGCAGAGGUCUGAAGAAGAUGGAAGAAGGGGAGUCCGCCACUCGUCUUCUCCCCUGAGCUGAGCUGAGUUCUUGCCGUGCCGGAUUUGGUUACCCUGCUUCUCUUUGCUCGGCAGGUAACCUGUACCCAUCCUUUGCACCCAUGAUUUAAACGCUUUUCUCUUCUUCUGUCUUUUCAGGGUUAAUUUCCCUUCUUUAUAAGCAACUGCUGCGAAUUGAAGUUUUCCGGCCAUUGUGGAAAUGCGGUCUUCCAAUCGGUCUGGCAGUCGAGGAUUUCUUUGGUAGUAAAAUAGAUUAAAAUUUGCUUUUGAGCUGUUGGGAUAGAAGUGAGCUGGAGCUGGAAUGCAAGCUAAAAGGACAUGUUCACAGGCACCUCAUCAGAUUUUUCUAAGCAAGGAUUUGGAGUUCUAACUUCGUUACUUCCUCAUCUUAUCCACACCAAACCAGACCAUGGACCCCAAUGGCAAUGUAAUACAGGCGUGCUGCCAUCAUUUAUUCCAAGGGGCGCCUGGUGAUUCAGAGUCUACGCCGACGAGCUGAUGCAUCCGGCAUGUCAGCUAUAUCUACUUGAUUAUUUUUCUAUUUGUGUUACAAACAAUAUGGUAUUGUAUUAUGAACCAUUAACACAUACUUUGUUUUCUUUUCUGUUUUGAUUGGUUUCAGCGCUGUGCUAGGCCAUCGUCAUAUAUAGCCAUCUGGUGCUGUGUGUGGCCCUGGCAGGUGUCCAAAGUCUAUGUCACAUGGUGGGCCUAGCCAGUACAACGUAGUAGUAUUAUAUGAUGCUCGUAGAGCUGUUGUUUUAAAUGUUGAUUCAGUUUGAAUUUCCCGUUACGCCAAAUAGAGACACGAAGAGAGCCAUCCAUCACUCACAGAGACACCAAGAGAGCCAUCCAUCACUCCUGUGAGGGUUCACCAGACUGACAUGGAGCUAAAAGACAACCACACUGCCCCGGAUUUCAUGGAAAGGCUGCACCGCAUGCAGCAGUGAAGGUCAGAGUAGGUUGCCUAAUUAGGUACCGUGUAAGAAGAAAGACAGCUGCAUGCUUUGCCUUUUUAAUACAGCGAACUGUAGAAACUAAAGAAUCUAGCUCCUUUUCUAGCCAAAGGUACGGAUCUCAAUGCGAAUGAGUGGUUCUGAUUACACCC